GAUGAACGCUGGUGGCGUGCCUAACACAUGCAAGUCGAGCGAUUCUCUUCGGAGAAGAGCGGCGGACGGGUGAGUAACGCGUGGGUAACCUGCCCUGUACACACGGAUAACAUACCGAAAGGUAUGCUAAUACGAGAUAACAUGCUUUUAUCGCAUGGUAGAAGUAUCAAAGCUUUUGCGGUACAGGAUGGACCCGCGUCUGAUUAGCUAGUUGGUGAGGUAACGGCUCACCAAGGCGACGAUCAGUAGCCGACCUGAGAGGGUGAUCGGCCACAUUGGAACUGAGACACGGUCCAAACUCCUACGGGAGGCAGCAGUGGGGAAUAUUGCACAAGGGGCGAAAGCCUGAUGCAGCAACGCCGCGUGAGCGAUGAAGGCCUUCGGGUCGGAAAGCUCUGUCCUCAAGGAAGAUAAUGACGGUACUUGAGGAGGAAGCCCCGGCUAACUACGUG
Molecule: ribosomal RNA, 452 nt
Filed under: uncultured bacterium
Lineage: Bacteria
Description: partial 16S ribosomal RNA
Rfam family: Bacterial small subunit ribosomal RNA
Source: RNAcentral